Ailuropoda melanoleuca (giant panda) is the source of this 4550-nucleotide long non-coding RNA. RefSeq lists it as uncharacterized. The transcript has 4 exons. NCBI's taxonomy places the organism in Eukaryota, Metazoa, Chordata, Mammalia, Carnivora, Ursidae. The record is from RefSeq and is a predicted model, not a curated record.
AAGAAUCUUCCCCAGCAUCAGGAGGAAGGAGGGUCAAGUUGCCAAAAAUCUACCACGUGGGAGGAGCCGACCGCACUUGGAAAACUGCGACAUUCGGGUACCUCUCCCUGGUAUCCCUAGUGGUAUGUUCCUUUAAAAUCCAGGAGUGUAAUUUCCACACGCUUUUACUUUGAGGAAAAAAUGGGAACUGGUUUCAGAGAACGGUAACUCGUCCAAAUCAAGAGCCCAUCUUAUGAUUCGGAUCAUAUACAACCUUCCCCAUUCACGAAGACUUACUGAUCACCUGGCCUCUAGAAAACACAGUGGAGUUGGGGAGAGGAAUUUAUCGAGGGCUCCUUGUGUGCUGGUCACUAAGAGGUUUAAUGAAGUCUGAGACACUUUCAAUGCUCCUACAAAAAGUGGAUACGAUGGAAAGAUCCUGUCAUAAGAGAUGCAUCAUAGUAUGGAAUACUAAUCAGCCACUCAGAUUUAUACUUGUAGAGCACUCAGGAAACCAUUGAACGUCAUGAAGCUGGGCAAUUCUAUUAGCCUGCUUAAGUUAUGUCAGGCAGAAGCUUAUUACAACACUGCCCUAACCCAGCAAGAUGGGUGUUUUCUAAAAGUGUGAGUACUCCCUUCCUUUCAUUUUAAGUGUAGAAAAAGCAAUGACUACUCAAGAAGUCAUAAUCUCAGAAAUAAUCUUUUAUUUUCUGGAAGAUUCUGCAAUCACAGAAUUUUUUACUUAUAUUGUCUGUUUUAGCACUCAUUUUCUUGAAUUAUAUCUUCUUAGAAGGUCUUCCUCCCCUCUCCCUUUAGUCAUUCAUUCAUAUAACCAGUGUUCAUUGUAUGCUUACACUGUGCUUGGCUGUAGAGACUCUAUCAGUGAAAAAAAAGAAAAGACAGAAAUCCCUGUCCCUGUGAAGUAUACAUUCCAGUGGAAACAGACAAAAUGAAGGAAAAAAAAAAGUAAAUUAUAAAAACGUGAAUAAAAAUGAAAAGAUAAGUUAUAUGGUAUAUUAGAUCGUGAUGCAUAUCAUACAAAAGGAAGUCAAACAAGAGCAUAGGAAGUAUUGUUGGUGCAUGGAAGAAGAAAGAAAGGGAAGGCAGCAAAAUCACACCAGGCCUUGUGUAGGCCUGAGGACGAUUUUGUUUUUUACCCUGAGAAAUGGAAAGGCAUGGUGAGAUUUCAAGCAGCAAAGUAACAUCUGACUUAUAUUUUUAAAACUUCACUCUGAUUGCUCUAUGAAUAGUCCAAGAGGGCUAACUGAAUAAGAUAAUUAUAGGAUAAUAUACCAGAAUAAUGAUACAAAGAUAAUUGUAGAGAGACUACUUAAGGAAGCUAUUGGAGAACCCAAGUGAGAGAUGAUGGUGGCUUAGGCUAAGGUGAUAUUGGGGUAAGUGAUAAAAAGUGGUCAAAUUCUGGGAAUAUUUUGAUGGUAGAUCCAACAGGUUUUCCUAAUGGAUUGAGUGUGAGGUAUGAAAGAGGAGUUAAGGAUGAUAUAAAGGUUUCUGGCUAAGGCAAACUGUAAGCAUAAGGGGCUGUUGAUUGGAAUAGGGAUAACUGCAGUGGUAAUUGGGAAAUUGGUGCCCAAUCUGGGAUUUUUUUUCUUUUUUGAGGGGGAGAGAGAGAGAGGGAGAGAAGAGGGAGAGAGAGAGGGAAGGGCAGAAGGAAAGGAAUAGUAUUAUUCAGGGUUCAGUCUUACAACCCUGAGAUCAUGACCUGAGCUGAAAUCAAGAGUUGGACGCUUAACCAACUGAGCCAUCCAGGUGCCCCUGGGAUAUUUUAAUUUGAAGUGCUUAUUAUAUUAUCCAAAGAGGGUUUGGGGUAGGCAGCUGGGUAUGCAAACCCAAAGUUGAAGGAAGAGGUCCAAGCUGAAUAAAAAUAUAAUCACCAGCGUACAGAUGGUAUUUUUAACACCAUUGGACUUAGUAUGACCAAGGAGGAAGAGAGUAUAAAGAAGAAAAGACGAGGCCAGAGUCCUGAGUACUCUAAUGUUAAAGGUUGGGUUGAUGAAGAGGAUCCAGCAAUAAGAGAUGGAGAAUGAAUCUCCAUUGAUAAGAGGAAAGUUAGGAGAUUAAGGAGUCCUGAAAGCCAAGAAAUGGCCAAGUUUCAGAUGAAGAGAGGUAUCAACUGUGUCAAAUGCCACUAAUAGGUCAAGGAAAAUGAGGCCUGGUGAUUGCCCAGUAGAUACAGCAACAUAACGCAAGGUCAUUGGUAGCCUUGAUAAGAGACACAAGUAAGUCUCUGUGGAAUGUGGAGGGAAAAGCCUAAUUGGAGUAUUUUCAAGAAACAAUGGAAAGGAAGGGUUUGAGGACUAUGUGAAGUUUUGAUGCAAGGUGCACAGGAAAAUGGGGCAGUAGCUAGAGGGGUUGAGGUCAAGGAAGAGUUUUUCUUUAUGAUAACAUCAUACUUAUAUAUUGAUGGCAAUGAUCCAACAGGGAGGGAAAUUACUGAUAGCAGAGUAAAGAGGGGAGACUUGCUGGAGCCAUGUCCUUGAGGUAAAAAGGGAUGGAAUCUAGUGCACAAGUGGAAAGCUUUAGCUUUUAUAAAGCAGUAGACCGUUCAUCUAUGGCAACAGAAGCCAAAGCAGAGUUCUUGACCACAGACAUUGGUAGGUAGAUAUUUGUGAUGGUAGGAACUUGUAGAAAAUCUCUUCUAAUCUUUCUCCCUUCCUCCAGCCCAAUGCAUGUCCCUUAUCAUUUCUAGAACAGUCUUUCUAAAAUGCAAAUCUACUUAUGUAGCUCCCACUUACAAUUUUUUCACAUCCUCCCAUUAGUCACAGGAUAAAAUCUCAAAUAGCUAGUAUGGCAUACAAGGUUCGUUACGACCUGACACCUGCUGAACUGCCCAAGCCAUCUCUGCUGUGUUCCUGUGGGUACCUUCCACUGGCACCAUAGAUAACUACAGAAAUUCCCUAAAUGUCCCAAGCUCUCUGUCAGCGUUAUGCCUUUUCAUACAUUGCUUCACCUCCCUUCAAAGACUUUCCCCAGUUGAAACUCAUGUUCUACCUUGCCAAUUCUUAUUUGGCCUUCAAAAGGCUAUAACCUAUACUGGAUGAAUUCAUCGCCUCUCCUUCUUCUCCCAUGAUAUUUAUUAUAUUAUGGUCAUUUCAGUUGUUUUUCUUGCCUGUCCUCUUUCACAAUUUAGUGAAUUUUCUUCAUAGAUGAGGUCAUGUUCACCUCAGAACCAGGAGAGAGAACCUAAUACGUAAGUAGAUACUUGACAAAGAGAGUACUUUUCUGACUCCUGUCCCACUCCCAACCUCCAGAUUGGCACCAGGGACAGGAUUUUGUCUCAUCUGUGUAUUCCUGGUACGCAUUGUAUUGUAUGUAAUACAGUUCUCCAUACAAUAGGACGUUCAUAUUUCAGUUUUCUGUUCUCAGUCUGUACUUUCCUUGGGUGAUAACAUUCACUUCCAUGGCUUAAUUUCCGUAUGUAUGUUUAUGACUUUCGGAUCUAUCUGUCUUUGGCCCAGAUUUCUCUUCUGGCCUCCAGUCUUAUAUAGACAGCUGCUUACUAUAUCCACCAGGAUGUUUCACAGGCUCAAACUAAAUUAAUAAUCCUACCUUCAAGCCUACUUUUUCUUCUAUAAUCCCUAUCUCAGUGAGACAAUCGGUGUCCUUCCAGUUGCCUAGGAUGUAAAAUUAGGAAUUGACCUUGACUUUUCCCUCUCUUUCACCUGUUUCAAUGAGUCAUUAGAUCCUGGCAAUCCUGGCAUCAUAUCUAUAAUAUAAUAUCUCUGGAAUCCAUCAACUCUGUCAUUCCCACUGUCACUCUUAUUUCAAGCCUACUUACCCUCACUUAAAUUAUGCUGACUGGGCUCUCUGUAUAACUCCAGCCUUGCUCAUCCUUUGUUCUAUUCUCUGGUCUGUAAUCAGAGAGAUUUUUAUUCAAAAUGUUCCUUUAAGCAUUAACAUUAUAAUUAUUAUCAUCAUUCUUUGAUUUAGGACUAUUUUUCUUUCUUACGGAAAGGAACCUAAAAAAGAAAACAGUUUAUAUUUUUAACUAUUUAUAAUUCCAUCAUUUCAGCUAAAUUCUCAUUUUUGUAUAUUACUUUCUAAUCCUUGUCCAUUAUAUGCUUGCUAUAUGAAGCAUACAUAAUGGUUUUACCUAUAAUUUAGAAUCAACUGCACCUAAAUAAUUUUCCAUGCCUAAACUAAACAUUUAAAUCAGGUCAUGUGCAUAAUUUCAUACUUCUAAAAUGUCUUUAUAAUCAUCAUUUUAUGCAUAAUAUUUAUUAAACAAAAACAAUUAUUUGCUUGUAUAAUAUGAAUUAUGAUAAAUUCUACAAAAGAAAAGAAGAAGGUACUUUGAAAGAGGCUAAUAGACAGAGUCUAAUUUAGCUAGGGAGUUAGGGAAGUGUUCCAGGAAUUAAAAGAAUGCCCUCGAGACUAGCAGAGAGCAAAUCAGAGGAAGAGUUGCCUGAAUGAGAUUGGAGAGUCAGAGAACAGUCAUAUGAUGUGCAAAUGAAAGAAAUUGAAAUAUUUUGGGGCGCCUGGGUGGCACAGCGGUUAAGCGUCUGCCUUCGGCUCAGGGCGUGAUCCCGGCGUUGUGGGAUCGAGCCCCACGU